Molecule: ribosomal RNA, 492 nt
Filed under: uncultured bacterium
Lineage: Bacteria
Description: partial 16S ribosomal RNA
Rfam family: Bacterial small subunit ribosomal RNA
Source: RNAcentral
AGUGAACGCUGGCGGUAGGCCUAACACAUGCAAGUCGAACGGCAGCACAGUAAGAGCUUGCUCUUACGGGUGGCGAGUGGCGGACGGGUGAGGAAUACAUCGGAAUCUACUUUUUCGUGGGGGAUAGCGUAGGGAAACUUACGCUAAUACCGCAUACGACCUACGGGUGAAAGCAGGGGAUCUUCGGACCUUGCGCGAUUGAAUGAGCCGAUGUCGGAUUAGCUAGUUGGCGGGGUAAAGGCCCACCAAGGCGACGAUCCGUAGCUGGUCUGAGAGGAUGAUCAGCCACACUGGAACUGAGACACGGUCCAGACUCCUACGGGAGGCAGCAGUGGGGAAUAUUGGACAAUGGGCGCAAGCCUGAUCCAGCCAUACCGCGUGGGUGAAGAAGGCCUUCGGGUUUUAAAGCCCUUUUGUUGGGAAAGAAAAGCAGCAGGUUAAUACCCCGCUGUUCUGACGGUACCCAAAGAAUAAGCACCGGCUAACUUCGUG